This 505-nucleotide ribosomal RNA is filed under the name uncultured bacterium. RNAcentral describes it as "partial 16S ribosomal RNA". It matches the Rfam family "Bacterial small subunit ribosomal RNA", at positions 28 to 507 of the family's 1533-position model. The record is from RNAcentral.
GACGAACGCUGGCGGCGUGCCUAAUACAUGCAAGUAGAACGCACAGUUUAUACCGUAGCUUGCUACACCAUAGACUGUGAGUUGCGAACGGGUGAGUAACGCGUAGGUAACCUGCCUGGUAGCGGGGGAUAACUAUUGGAAACGAUAGCUAAUACCGCAUAAUAUUAAUUAUUGCAUGAUAAUUAAUUGAAAGGUGCAAUUGCACCACUACCAGAUGGACCUGCGUUGUAUUAGCUAGUAGGUGAGGUAACGGCUCACCUAGGCGACGAUACAUAGCCGACCUGAGAGGGUGAUCGGCCACACUGGGACUGAGACACGGCCCAGACUCCUACGGGAGGCAGCAGUAGGGAAUCUUCGGCAAUGGACGAAAGUCUGACCGAGCAACGCCGCGUGAGUGAAGAAGGUUUUCGGAUCGUAAAGCUCUGUUGUAAGAGAAGAACGGGUGGGAGAGUGGAAAGUUCACACUGUGACGGUAUCUUACCAGAAAGGGACGGCUAACUACGUG